Molecule: ribosomal RNA, 413 nt
Filed under: uncultured microorganism
Description: bacterial SSU rRNA
Rfam family: Archaeal small subunit ribosomal RNA
Source: RNAcentral
GCGCACCAGUCGCGAAACCUCCGCAAUACACGAAAGUGUGGCGGGGCCAUCCCGAGUGCCGUCCGCUGAGGACGGCUUUUCCCCAGUGUACACAGCUGGGGGAAUAAGGAGAGGGCAAGCCUGGUGUCAGCCGCCGCGGUAAUACCAGCUCUCCGAGUGGUGGGGACGCUUAUUGGGCCUAAAGCAUCCGUAGCCGGCUGGGCAAGUCCUCCGUUAAAUCCAACGAUUCAAUCGUUGGGCUGCGGGGGAUACUGUCCAGCUUGGGGGCGGGAGAGGCCGACGGUAUUCCCGGGGUAGGGGUGAAAUCCUAUAAUCCCGGGAGGACCACCAGUGGCGAAGGCUGUCGGCUAGAACGCGCCCGACGGUGAGGGAUGAAAGCUGGGGGAGCGAACCGGAUUAGAUACCCCUGUAGU